AUUUUUAUUUUUUUCAAAAAAAAAGAACAGUAUUAUGUAGCUCCUAAUGAAUUAACAGGAGUUACAUUAGCAUAUCAUAAAGUUGUGUAUGCUCUUUGAGUCUUAAAUCACCGGGGCAAUGAAAUCGUCUUCCUUUUGCGGAGAUCUGAUAAUAUGCUCUUAACAAUUUUUGGUUUUAUUAGUGAGCCAUAAGGUUUGUUUAAGCGGAAGUUUUGUGAUUUCAUGUUAGGGACAAGGGCUUCAUAGAUGUGUUCCUUUCUAUUUUUAUUCUUUAUAUUACUAGUUCAUUGGUUCAUGGACACGCUAACCUAAAAGUAGUUAAAUCUCCUUGGCCUUGAGCGAGUGUUUCCAUACUACCACUAAUCCUUGGGUGAUCCAAUGUUUCCUAUAAAAAAAAGUACACAUAAAUAUAUAGCCUAGGGUACCUUUCUUUUUCAGUAAUCAACAUACAGUUUAAAGUUAAGAAUGUUAUGGUUUUCGUGUGUGAUUAAACCAA
Molecule: non-coding RNA, 496 nt
Organism: Schizosaccharomyces pombe (fission yeast)
Lineage: Eukaryota; Fungi; Ascomycota; Schizosaccharomycetes; Schizosaccharomycetales; Schizosaccharomycetaceae
Source: the annotation of a GenBank genome assembly